Molecule: ribosomal RNA, 274 nt
Filed under: uncultured bacterium
Lineage: Bacteria
Description: partial 16S ribosomal RNA
Rfam family: Bacterial small subunit ribosomal RNA
Source: RNAcentral
AUACGGAGGGAGCAAGCGUUAUUCGGAAUCACUGGGCGUAAAGGACGCGUAGGCGGGUUUGUAAGUCAGGUGUGAAAUCCUACAGCUCAACUGUAGAACUGCACUUGAAACUACAGACCUAGAGUAUGGAAGGGGCAGAUGGAAUUAGUGGUGUAGGGGUAAAAUCCGUAGAUAUCACUAGGAAUACCGAAAGCGAAGGCGAUCUGCUGGGACAUUACUGACGCUGAGGCGUGAAAGCGUGGGGAGCUAACAGGAUUAGAAACCCCUGUAGUCC